GACGAACGCUGGCGGCGUGCUUAACACAUGCAAGUCGAACGGAAAGGCCCUGCUUUUGUGGGGUGCUCGAGUGGCGAACGGGUGAGUAACACGUGAGUAACCUGCCCUUGACUUUGGGAUAACUUCAGGAAAUUGGGGCUAAUACCGGAUAGGAGCUCCUGCUGCAUGGUGGGGGUUGGAAAGUUUCGGCGGUUGGGGAUGGACUCGCGGCUUAUCAGCUUGUUGGUGGGGUAGUGGCUUACCAAGGCUUUGACGGGUAGCCGGCCUGAGAGGGUGACCGGCCACAUUGGGACUGAGAUACGGCCCAGACUCCUACGGGAGGCAGCAGUGGGGAAUAUUGCACAAUGGGCGGAAGCCUGAUGCAGCAACGCCGCGUGCGGGAUGACGGCCUUCGGGUUGUAAACCGCUUUCGCCUGUGACGAAGCGUGAGUGACGGUAAUGGGUAAAGAAACACCGGCUAACUACGU
This 467-nucleotide ribosomal RNA is filed under the name uncultured bacterium. Its description in RNAcentral is "partial 16S ribosomal RNA". It matches the Rfam family "Bacterial small subunit ribosomal RNA", at positions 28 to 506 of the family's 1533-position model. The record is from RNAcentral.